RNAcentral lists this ribosomal RNA (461 nucleotides) under uncultured bacterium. Its description in RNAcentral is "partial 16S ribosomal RNA". It matches the Rfam family "Bacterial small subunit ribosomal RNA", at positions 338 to 795 of the family's 1533-position model. The record is from RNAcentral.
CCUACGGGAGGCCGCAGUGAGGAAUAUUGGUCAAUGGGCGGAAGCCUGAACCAGCCAAGUAGCGUGCGGGAUGAAGGCCCUACGGGUCGUAAACCGCUUUUGCACGGGGAUAACACCCUCCACUUGUGGAGGUCUGCAGGUACCGUGCGACUAAGCUCCGGCUAACUACGUGCCAGCAGCCGCGGUAAUACGUAGGGAGCAAGCGUUGUUCGGAAUGACUGGGCGUAAAGGGUGCGUAGUCGGUUGUACAAGUUAGAAGUGAAAUACCCAGGGCUUAACUCGGGUGCUGCUUCUAAAACUGUAUGACUUGAGUGCAGUAGAGGUUAGUGGAAUUCCUAGUGUAGGGGUGGAAUGCGUAGAUAUUAGGAGGAACACCAGAGGCGAAGGCGGCUAACUGGACUGCAACUGACGCUGAGGCACGAAAGUGUGGGGAGCAAACAGGAUUAGAUACCCGAGUAGUC